Danio rerio (zebrafish) is the source of this 117-nucleotide ribosomal RNA. The record is from Ensembl. Lineage: Eukaryota; Metazoa; Chordata; Actinopteri; Cypriniformes; Danionidae.
UGCCACAGCCAUAUCACACUGUAGCCCAAGACCAACUUCUCACUGAAGCUAUGCAGGGCUGAUACUGGUCAGUAUCUGGAUGGGAGACCACAUGGGAAAACUAGUUUGCUGUUGAAA